AUCUUCAGGGCAGGGAGCAUUUCCCGACCGGCGGUAAAGUCCGCGAGCCGAAAGGCAUGAACCGGUGUGAUUCCGGUACCGACAGUAUAGUCUGGAUGGUAGAAGAUG
This 108-nucleotide non-coding RNA is filed under the name human gut metagenome. RNAcentral's name for it is "FMN riboswitch (RFN element)". It matches the Rfam family "FMN riboswitch aptamer (RFN element)". From Rfam's summary of the family: The RFN element is a highly conserved domain that is found frequently in the 5'-untranslated regions of prokaryotic mRNAs that encode for flavin mononucleotide (FMN) biosynthesis and transport proteins. This element is a metabolite-dependent riboswitch that directly binds FMN in the absence of proteins. RNAcentral also lists the same sequence under 1 other name. The record is from RNAcentral.